RNAcentral lists this ribosomal RNA (252 nucleotides) under uncultured bacterium. RNAcentral describes it as "partial 16S ribosomal RNA". It matches the Rfam family "Bacterial small subunit ribosomal RNA", at positions 524 to 776 of the family's 1533-position model. The record is from RNAcentral.
UACGGAGGAUGCGAGCGUUAUCCGGAUUUAUUGGGUUUAAAGGGUGCGUAGGCGGAUUUUUAAGUCCGCGGUAAAAUGUCCGGGCUCAACCCGGGCCGGCCGUUGAAACUGGGGAUCUUGAGUGGGCGAGAAGUAUGCGGAAUGCGUGGUGUAGCGGUGAAAUGCAUAGAUAUCACGCAGAACUCCGAUUGCGAAGGCAGCAUACCGGCGCCCGACUGACGCUGAGGCACGAAAGCGUGGGGAUCGAACAGG